GUGGCUGUCAACUAAAAAGUGAAUCUCGCA
RNAcentral lists this non-coding RNA (30 nucleotides) under Rattus norvegicus (Norway rat). Lineage: Eukaryota; Metazoa; Chordata; Mammalia; Rodentia; Muridae. The record is from RNAcentral.